This 414-nucleotide ribosomal RNA is filed under the name uncultured Coprococcus sp. RNAcentral describes it as "bacterial SSU rRNA". It matches the Rfam family "Bacterial small subunit ribosomal RNA", at positions 355 to 784 of the family's 1533-position model. The record is from RNAcentral. Lineage: Bacteria; Bacillati; Bacillota; Clostridia; Lachnospirales; Lachnospiraceae.
UGGGGAAUAUUGCACAAUAGGGCAAAAGACCUGAUGCAGCAACGCCGCGUGAGCGAAGAAGGUCUUCGGAUCGUAAAGCUCUGUCCUUGGGGAAGAAAAUGACGGUACCUGACUAAGAAGCACCGGCUAAAUACGUGCCAGCAGCCGCGGUAAUACGUAUGGUGCAAGCGUUAUCCGGAUUUACUGGGUGUAAAGGGAGCGUAGACGGCUGUGUAAGUCUGAAGUGAAAGCCCGGGGCUCAACCCCGGGACUGCUUUGGAAACUAUGCAGCUAGAGUGUCGGAGAGGUAAGUGGAAUUCCCAGUGUAGCGGUGAAAUGCGUAGAUAUUGGGAGGAACACCAGUGGCGAAGGCGGCUUACUGGACGAUGACUGACGUUGAGGCUCGAAAGCGUGGGGAGCAAACAGGAUUAGAUA